Molecule: transfer RNA, 62 nt
Filed under: Dipodomys ordii (Ord's kangaroo rat)
Lineage: Eukaryota; Metazoa; Chordata; Mammalia; Rodentia; Heteromyidae
Rfam family: tRNA
About the family: Transfer RNA (tRNA) molecules are approximately 80 nucleotides in length. Their secondary structure includes four short double-helical elements and three loops (D, anti-codon, and T loops). Further hydrogen bonds mediate the characteristic L-shaped molecular structure. tRNAs have two regions of fundamental functional importance: the anti-codon, which is responsible for specific mRNA codon recognition, and the 3' end, to which the tRNAs corresponding amino acid is attached (by aminoacyl-tRNA synthetases). tRNAs cope with the degeneracy of the genetic code in two manners: having more than one tRNA (with a specific anti-codon) for a particular amino acid; and 'wobble' base-pairing, i.e. permitting non-standard base-pairing at the 3rd anti-codon position.
Source: Rfam by way of RNAcentral
UGUGGUUCAGUGGUAGAAUGCUUGCCUACCAUGCAUGAAGCCCUGGGUUCGAUUCCCCAGCA